UGGCGGACGGGUGAGUAACAUAUAGGAACAUACCCAGUAAUGGGGGAUAACGCCGAGAAAUCGGUGCUAAUACCGCAUACGCCCUGAGGGGGAAAGCGGGGGAUCUUCGGACCUCGCGUUAUUGGAUUGGCCUAUAUCUGAUUAGCUAGUUGGUGAGGUAAAGGCUCACCAAGGCGACGAUGGGUAGCCGGCCUGAGAGGGUGUCCGGCCACACUGGGACUGAGAUACGGCCCAGACUCCUACGGGAGGCAGCAGUCGAGAAGCUUCGGCAAUGGGCGAAAGCCUGAUCCAGCCAUUCCGCGUGAGUAAAGAAGGCCUUCGGGUUGUAAAGCUCUUUCGGCAGGAACGAAACGGUGAGGGUUAAUACCCCUUAUCAAUGACGGUACCUGAAGAAGAAGCACCGGCUAACUACGUGCCAGCAGCCGCGGUAAU
This 432-nucleotide ribosomal RNA is filed under the name uncultured bacterium. Its description in RNAcentral is "bacterial SSU rRNA". It matches the Rfam family "Bacterial small subunit ribosomal RNA", at positions 96 to 524 of the family's 1533-position model. The record is from RNAcentral.